This is a long non-coding RNA of Sander lucioperca (pikeperch), 253 nucleotides long. RefSeq lists it as uncharacterized. Lineage: Eukaryota; Metazoa; Chordata; Actinopteri; Perciformes; Percidae. The record is from RefSeq and is a predicted model, not a curated record. The transcript is spliced from 2 exons.
GAGGAAUGCCAGAAGUUAUCAGAGGAAAGGAGGCGCUUGUGGUUGGCAAAGCUCAACCAGGAUCUACGAGGGAAAAAUCUGGACAACAUCCGGAUUUGUUCGGCCCAUUUCUUGUCAGGUAAAAAGUCUGACCUUUACCAAAAGGAUGACCCAAAUUGGGUGCCAUCUGUUGGACUGACAGGUCAGCAAGAAGGUUCACCUCAGUCAACCAAAGAAACAGGGAACUCACGCUACAAGCGUCGCAUGAAUCGAA